GUACACGCUGUGACUAGCAUAUCAAUAAGCGGAGGAAAAGAAACUAACAAGGAUUCCCUUAGUAACGGCGAGUGAAGCGGGAAGAGCUCAAAUUUGAAAUCUUCAAGGGUUUACCUUUACGAAUUGUAGUUUAAAGAAGUGUUUUCUGCUGAGGUUUUGGUAAAAGUUCUUUGGAAUAGGACAUCAUAGAGGGUGAGAAUCCCGUAUUUGACCAUUAUUUUCAACUUUGUGAUACACUUUCAAAGAGUCGGAUUGUUUGGGAAUGCAGUCCAAAAUGGGUGGUAAAUUUCAUCUAAAGCUAAAUAUUGGCGAGAGACCGAUAGCGAACAAGUACCGUGAGGGAAAGAUGAAAAGAACUUUGAAAAGAGAGUUAAACAGUACGUGAAAUUGUCAAAAGGGAAGCGUUUGACACCAGUGUUGUUUUUCUGAAAAUCAAUUAAAGAACUGUUUAUGCUAAGCUGUUUAGACUUUAUCAGCUAAUCUGUUUAGUUUUGAGCUUUUCUUUAAUGCACUUUUCAGUUAACAAGUCAACAUCAAUUUCUUUUGUUGUAAAAAAGCUUGAGGAAGGUGGCUUGAGAUUCGUCUUAAGUGUUUAUAGCCUCUUGCCUAUGCAGUCGGAGAGAUUGAGGUCUGCAGCGUAGAUCCUUCGGGGCUAAAUGCAUUUGUGCUAAGUUAUAGCAUUUAUAGACAACUUGUUGACUAUGAUUUGUCUUGUAGCUUACUCGCUUAUGUUAUUUUACCUACGCUUAGGAUGUUGAGCGCAUGUCUCUCUCU
This 774-nucleotide ribosomal RNA is filed under the name uncultured Neocallimastigales. RNAcentral's name for it is "partial large subunit ribosomal RNA". It matches the Rfam family "Eukaryotic large subunit ribosomal RNA", at positions 22 to 616 of the family's 3401-position model. Lineage: Eukaryota; Fungi; Neocallimastigomycota; Neocallimastigomycetes; Neocallimastigales. The record is from RNAcentral.